GGAGUCGUAGCUUAGCCUGGUUUAAAGCGUCUGCCUGUCACGCAGAAGAUCGAGGGUUCAAAUCCCUUCGACUCCGCCA
Molecule: transfer RNA, 79 nt
Filed under: bacterium
Lineage: Bacteria
Description: tRNA-Asp
Rfam family: tRNA
About the family: Transfer RNA (tRNA) molecules are approximately 80 nucleotides in length. Their secondary structure includes four short double-helical elements and three loops (D, anti-codon, and T loops).
Source: RNAcentral